This 309-nucleotide ribosomal RNA is filed under the name uncultured eukaryote. Its description in RNAcentral is "partial 18S ribosomal RNA". It matches the Rfam family "Eukaryotic small subunit ribosomal RNA", at positions 1470 to 1796 of the family's 1831-position model. The record is from RNAcentral.
CCCUUAGAUGUUCUGGGCCGCACGCGCGCUACACUGACGAAUGCAACGAGCUUAUAACCUUGGCCGAAAGGUCUGGGUAAUCUCCAAAUUUCGUCGUGAUGGGGAUAGAUUAUUGCAAUUAUUAAUCUUCAACGAGGAAUGCCUAGUAAGCGCAAGUCAUCAACUUGCGUUGAUUACGUCCCUGCCCUUUGUACACACCGCCCGUCGCUACUACCGAUUGAAUGGUUUAGUGAGGCCUUCGGAUCCGCAACUCGUUUUGUGGAGAAGUUGGACAAACUCAGUCAUUUAGAGGAAGUAAAAGUCGUAACA